This 253-nucleotide ribosomal RNA is filed under the name uncultured bacterium. RNAcentral describes it as "partial 16S ribosomal RNA". It matches the Rfam family "Bacterial small subunit ribosomal RNA", at positions 524 to 776 of the family's 1533-position model. The record is from RNAcentral.
UACGGAGGGUGCAAGCGUUAUCCGGAUUCACUGGGUUUAAAGGGUGCGUAGGAGGGCAGGGAAGUCAGUGGUGAAAUCUCCGGGCUUAACUCGGAAACUGCCGUUGAUACUCUCUGUCUUGAAUCCCGUGGAGGUGAGCGGAAUAUGUCAUGUAGCGGUGAAAUGCUUAGAUAUGACAUAGAACACCAAUUGCGAAGGCAGCUCGUUACACGAAGAUUGACUCUGAGGCACGAAAGCGUGGGGAUCAAACAGG